GACGAACGCUGGCGGCGCGCCUAACACAUGCAAGUCGAGCGGAGAUAUUUGAAGGAAGUUUUCGGAUGGAAUUUGGGUAUUUUAGCGGCGGACGGGUGAGUAACGCGUGAGUGACCUGCCUUCCACAGGGGGAUAACGUACCGAAAGGUACACUAAUACCGCAUGAGACCACAGCACUGCCUGGUGCAGGGGUCAAAGGAGCAAUCCGGUGGAAGAUGGACUCGCGUCCGAUUAGAUAGUUGGUGGGGUAACGGCCUACCAAGUCAGCGAUCGGUAGGAGACCUGAGCGGGUGAUCGGACACAUUGGAACUGAGAGACGGUCCAAACUCCCACGGGAGGCAGCAGUGGGGAAUAUUGGGCAAUGGGGGAAAACCUGACCCAGCGACGCCGCGUGAGGGAAGAAGGUUUUCGGAUUGUAAACCUCUGUUCUUGGUGAAGAGGGAAAGACGGUAGCCAAGGAGGAAGCCCCGGCUAACUACGUGCCAGCCGCCGCAGUAA
This 498-nucleotide ribosomal RNA is filed under the name uncultured bacterium. Its description in RNAcentral is "partial 16S ribosomal RNA". It matches the Rfam family "Bacterial small subunit ribosomal RNA", at positions 28 to 523 of the family's 1533-position model. The record is from RNAcentral.